Molecule: unclassified non-coding RNA, 104 nt
Filed under: synthetic construct
Description: single-guide RNA from synthetic construct (PDB 7VW3, chain B)
Source: RNAcentral
GUACCGCUCCAGUCGUUCAUGGUUUUAGUACUCUGGAAACAGAAUCUACUAAAACAAGGCAAAAUGCCGUGUUUAUCUCGUCAACUUGUUGGCGAGAUUUUUUU